CAGACUUGUUAGCAGUGCAACCUGAACUAUCCAAGACAAAGCAAGGUCCCUAUCUCUUAAGGAAACUAGAUAUUGACAGAUUUGCUAAACGGCCUGAUCAAUGGAAGUCCAUGCAAGCAUCAAAACAAUCAACGUACAAAGAAUUUUAUGCUGCGUUUGGAUCUAAUGAAAACAAGCCAUCAAGAAGUGACUCAUUUCUCGCUGAUACUUCCAAGAAUACAUCACAACCAAAAGGAAUAAAGAAAAUGAGGAAAGAGAUUGAUUAUCAUCUGACAUCUGAGAAAAACAGAAAGGGUCGUGCUGUUUCUGAGACUGUUGGAACAUCAAAGAAAGUAGUGGAAAGCACACACCAGAUACCGUUCCUAUCUACUGAUAUGAAGGGGAAGAAGCGACACAGAAAGCAUAAACCUAUAAAAGUUUCAAAAAAGAAGUUAAAAGUA
This 440-nucleotide unclassified non-coding RNA is filed under the name Hevea brasiliensis (rubber tree). Lineage: Eukaryota; Viridiplantae; Streptophyta; Magnoliopsida; Malpighiales; Euphorbiaceae. The record is from RNAcentral.